This 389-nucleotide ribosomal RNA is filed under the name uncultured bacterium. Its description in RNAcentral is "bacterial SSU rRNA". It matches the Rfam family "Bacterial small subunit ribosomal RNA", at positions 28 to 417 of the family's 1533-position model. The record is from RNAcentral.
GACGAACGCUGGCGGCGUGCUUAACACAUGCAAGUCGAGCGGUAAGGCCCUUUCGGGGGUACACGAGCGGCGAACGGGUUGAGUAACACGUGGGUGACCUGCCCUCAGCUCUGGGAUAAGCCUGGGAAACCGGGUCUAAUACUGGAUAUGACUCCAUGACGCAUGUUGUGGGGUGGAAAGCCUUGUGCGGCUGAGGAUGGGCCCGCGGCCUAUCAGCUUGUUGGUGGGGUGANGGCCUACCAAGGCGACGACGGGUAGCCGGCCUGAGAGGGCGACCGGCCACACUGGGACUGAGACACGGCCCAGACUCCUACGGGAGGCAGCAGUGGGGAAUCUUGCGCAAUGGGCGAAAGCCUGGCGCAGCGACGCCGCGUGAGGGAUGACGGCCU